Molecule: transfer RNA, 72 nt
Filed under: Dipodomys ordii (Ord's kangaroo rat)
Lineage: Eukaryota; Metazoa; Chordata; Mammalia; Rodentia; Heteromyidae
Rfam family: tRNA
About the family: Transfer RNA (tRNA) molecules are approximately 80 nucleotides in length. Their secondary structure includes four short double-helical elements and three loops (D, anti-codon, and T loops). Further hydrogen bonds mediate the characteristic L-shaped molecular structure. tRNAs have two regions of fundamental functional importance: the anti-codon, which is responsible for specific mRNA codon recognition, and the 3' end, to which the tRNAs corresponding amino acid is attached (by aminoacyl-tRNA synthetases). tRNAs cope with the degeneracy of the genetic code in two manners: having more than one tRNA (with a specific anti-codon) for a particular amino acid; and 'wobble' base-pairing, i.e. permitting non-standard base-pairing at the 3rd anti-codon position.
Source: Rfam by way of RNAcentral
GGGGAGUUGGCUCAGUGGUAGAGCGCUUGCCUUUCAUGCAUGAGGCCCUGGGUUCGAUUCCCCAGCACCACA